GAUGAAGAACGUAGCGAAAUGCGAUACGUAAUGUGAAUUGCAGAAUUCAGUGAAUCAUCGAAUCUUUGAACGCAUAUUGCGCUCUUUGGUAUUCCGAAGAGCAUGCUUGUUUGAGUAUCAGUAAACACCUCAAAGACUUCAAUUUGUUUUGAAUGGCUUUGGACUUGAGCAAUCCCAACACCAGUCUUUACGAUCGGUGGAGGGUUGCUUGAAAUGCAGGUGCAGCUGGACAUUCUCCUGAGCUAAAAGCAUAUUUAUUUAGUCCCGUCAAACGGAUUAUUACUUUUGCUGCAGCUAACAUAAAGGGAGUUUGACCGUAUUGGCUGACUGAUGCAGGAUUUCACAAGGGUCGGCAACGAUUCUUGUAAAGCUCGAUCUCAAAUCAAGUAAGACUACCCGCUGAACUUAAGCAUAUCAAUAAGCGGAGGA
This 429-nucleotide unclassified non-coding RNA is filed under the name soil metagenome. RNAcentral describes it as "partial contains 5.8S ribosomal RNA, internal transcribed spacer 2, and large subunit ribosomal RNA". The stretch from base 1 to 120 matches the Rfam family "5.8S ribosomal RNA", at positions 35 to 154 of the family's 154-position model. The record is from RNAcentral.